This 945-nucleotide ribosomal RNA is filed under the name Triticum aestivum (bread wheat). RNAcentral describes it as "partial small subunit ribosomal RNA". Lineage: Eukaryota; Viridiplantae; Streptophyta; Magnoliopsida; Poales; Poaceae. The record is from RNAcentral.
AUGGCGCCCUCCACCACCACCGGUGCUGUCCCAGUCCCACGAUGUCCUGUUAUCUUCAACGGACAGAACUACAGGGACUGGGUGCAGCACAUGAAGCUGCACAUGAGGGGCCAGCUGGUCUGGGAGCACCUCUCUGGUGCUCUGCCUUGUCCCCUGCUGCCCACUCCUCCAGCUGAGUUGGCCUUCCCUGUUGAUGUCGAUGAAACCAAGCAACGUGAGAUGCUAGAUGCUUUUGAAGAGGCCACUGAAGGGUAUCAGAAUCAACUCCACUUAUACAAGCAAUGGACAAAUGAUGAUGCUCGAGCCUCUUCUAUCUUGGUGAACAGCAUGGAUGUUGAUCUCACCAUGGAUGUGGUGGCCCUUACCACUGCAUAUCAGAUGUGGGAGCACCUUCGCCAUCGCUAUGAGUCUGCAGGGGAUGCCAUGUAUCUCUCUGUUGUUCGUCAAGAGCAACAACUACAACAGGGAGAUGCUACUGUGGAUGAUUUCUACAAGGAGAUGUCGGCGGUGUGGCGCCAAUUGGACUCUCUGGGAGCUGAUGUUUGUCGCAGAUGUCAGUGUUGUGUGCGGCAACAAGCUAAGCUGGAGGUUCGUCGCCUCUACGACUUCCUCACUCGCCUCCGGCCGGAGUUCGAGCAGAGUCGUGCUCAGCUAUUGGCACGCCAUCCUCGGUUCUCUACUCUAGAGGCCCUUGCUGAGGUGCGAUCUGAGGAGGUGCGCCUACGGAGCACGGGCUUAUUGCCAUCCUCUUCAGCAGUCCUGGCUGCCCGUGUUCCACCAACGCUGCCUGGUGUGCCCUCUUCUACACAGGUGGCAGCAACCUCCACUAGUGCUUUCUGCAACUACUGCAAGCAGGAUGGUCACAUGAUCACGGAGUGCAUCAAGAGGAGGAAACAGGGUCGCCGUGGUGGCCGUCCUCAAAAGGACUCUGGGAGGCUCCUCUAA